This 244-nucleotide ribosomal RNA is filed under the name uncultured Clostridium sp. RNAcentral's name for it is "partial 16S ribosomal RNA". It matches the Rfam family "Bacterial small subunit ribosomal RNA", at positions 796 to 1041 of the family's 1533-position model. Lineage: Bacteria; Bacillati; Bacillota; Clostridia; Eubacteriales; Clostridiaceae. The record is from RNAcentral.
CACGCUGUAAACGAUGAGUGCUAGGUGUCGGGGGUCAAACCUCGGUGCCGCAGUUAACACAUUAAGCACUCCGCCUGGGGAGUACGUUCGCAAGAAUGAAACUCAAAGGAAUUGACGGGGACCCGCACAAGCAGCGGAGCAUGUGGUUUAAUUCGAUGCAACGCGAAGAACCUUACCAGGACUUGACAUCCCUUGGACCGGAUUAGAGAUAAUCCCUUCUCUUCGGAGACUGAGGGACAGGUGG